Molecule: ribosomal RNA, 264 nt
Filed under: Triticum aestivum (bread wheat)
Lineage: Eukaryota; Viridiplantae; Streptophyta; Magnoliopsida; Poales; Poaceae
Description: partial small subunit ribosomal RNA
Source: RNAcentral
AUGGACCAUUUCCGUAUGGCGGCCUCCCAACCCAACAAACCAACAAUGAAGGAGGAUGGCGAAGAUGAGAUGGCGAGAUGGUGGGAGAAGGCUGCGAAGAAGCUGAGAGAGGAGGAUGCAGCCGCACUAAAGAAGAAGAAGGAAGAGGAGCUUGAAGAGAAGAGGAAGGAAAGAGUGAGAAUGGAUAAUGAGUAUCCCGCUAGGGAGCAAGCAUUGGUGAGGAAAUGUGAGGAGGCACAGAAGAAGCGUCAAAAGGAUUUUUAA